GAUUGCGCCACUGCACUCUAGCCUGGGUGACAAAGUGAGACUCCAUCUAAAAACUAAGAAACAAAAAAAAGUGAGGAAUUCAGAGAUUAAAGAAGUUUUCUGGACCAUCCAUCCCAGCUUCUAUUAAAUGGAGCUGCUGAGAUGGAUGGGAGAUGGGACAUUUUCAGUGAAAAGGAACAGGUAAUCUUUAAGGAACCACGUGUAUAAUUUGGUACUGUCAACUUUAGGUAGUAAGAUUCAGAAAAUAUGGUUAAGUAUAGUCUAUUUGAGCGCAAAGCUUGAGUAUGGCCACCUGGGAGACACUGACUCCAAAUGAAUGGGGUCAGAGUUUCAAAGUAGAGAAGAUAAGGUUUCACUAACAUAGGCAGAGACAGAGAAGUUGUAACCGGAUUACGACAUUACCCAUACAAGACCAGUGUAUAUGUUACAGUGAUUUGAUUGGUUACAGAUUCCUACAUUCUAAGGAAGAUUACUCCAUGAGGAGGGACAAUAAUCUGAUAGGGUCUUAUCUUUGGCGUCAUUUGGUCUUAAUUAUGGGGGAAUAAUGGGGUCAGAAGUUGCAGCUGCAUACCAAGUGACUCAGGCUGCAUAGCCACAUUCCUCUCAAGGUUCCAAAUAAUUUAAAGUUCCAACAGCUUUCAGUUUGAAUUAUUUAAUUUCACAGUGUGGAGCGCACUUGGAAGUGUGGUAGGAGACAAGAAUGGAAAAUGUCUCUUUAGGCCAUGCUGUAGAGACCUUUGAAUGCUGUUUUAUUUGCAUUUUAUUCUGCAGCUAUUUGGGAGUCCUUAUCACAGUUUUUAAAUGAGGCCUUAGAAAUGUUCUCAUUCAAUGUCGUACACAAUUAUUUUGUAUUCCACUAAGCAGGGGAGUAAAUGAAAGAGUGCUUGUAGACUUACUUGGACCUGAAUUUAUAGUCCGUCACUCUCUUGCAUAUACAAAAAAGAAAGUACAAAUGAAACUUGGGUGAAGAAUUUCUAAAACUUCUUCAUAAUCAGUUCUAGCUUUAAAUCACUUUUUAAUUCAUUGUCCAUAUUUGCCUAUAUAUAUAACUGCCCUGCAUGCCAUCAAGAGUAUUGAUAGUGCAACAUUUCUUAGAAAUGAUUCAACAUUGUCUUCAAAUUUUUCUUUCAAGUCACUGACACGUAUUUUGCAAGUUUCAACUUUGGCACUUUCUUGGUCUUACUAGAAGAUCUUAGCAAACAGUCUCACAACUACUGAAAUUCAUGUUUCUCCCUGAAAUGGCUCUUGUUUUAUUUGUUCAGGGUUGUAUUUGUCCAGUCACAAUGCCAGACCUGACAACCAAGUACACCCUUGUGCAGGCAAUGACAACAGUGUCCUGACUGCAGCUUAACUGUAAGACACUAUCAACAGUAAGAAACACUCUGAUUUUGAUGUUAAAAUAGAAUUGAAUUUGAAUUAAUGAAAUAUAAUACCCUGUUGAAAAUCUUAUGAUGGUGAAGAUAUCAGGAUGCAUUUGCUCACUGUUGUCAGUCCAGCCAGUAGGAAAUCUGUCUUGUCUAUCAGUUGUGUGAGAAAACCCUUUCCUAAAGAGAAGCCUUACUUUUUUAUUUCCCUGUUAUUUUGAAUUUAUACUUACUAAGGAGGAAACCAAGGCAGGAAAGACAGCCAAGGACAUUUUAAUUGAGUCAAGAGAGACUUACUUUUAAUCAAGUCUUGCGUGUUCUGGAAAGUGCCUUGAGAUCUUUUAAUAAUCUUGCCAAAUCAGCAUUUCAAUUUGGUACUCAGGAUGAGUGAUUAGAAGUCAUUGACAAACUAGCUAGCUUCAUUGUGGAGAAUAGCUGAAGUCUCUGGAGAACCACAGUCUUAAAUUAGACUGAAGAAGUGUGAGAUCACAGCAGGAAGUAAUGUGAACAGGAGGAGUUAUUGAUCAGAUGGUUCAGAGAGCUAGAUGAUCUUAACUUGAUUACUCCAAUUUUCCUUGUAUGUAACGAACACUUAUUGAUUGCUUCUCCUAAAUUCAUCUCCUUUCUCCUUCCUAGCAACACCUUAAUUUCUGUUCAGACACGUGUGUGAUUCUGGGGAAGCUGGCUUCAUCUAUCCUACGCUUCAGGUUUGGCAAGUCAGGACAUUCCAUUCCCUCAGCCACCAUACUUAUUUUGGACUGGGCAUGUGAUCUAAGCAGGUAUAGUCUGAGUGUAUUCUAGUUGGUAUGGUGUGUGGAUAUAAGGCCUCUGUUUUGCCAUAUGAUUUGGUUAAAUAUAAGAAGUGACUAUGGGGCUCAGUGGCUUGUGGUGAUAAUCCCAAGUACUUGGGAGAUGGAGGCAGAAGGAUUGCUUGAGGCCAGGAAUUGAAGACAAGCCUGAGCAUCAUGGUACGACCCCUGUCUCAAAGAAACAAAAAGUGGCUGUGAAUCUUGUACUCUGAUGCUAGGCUUCCAAAGAAGUUCAGACUAUCACAGAUAGGAAGUCAGGGUGAAGUGGGGAAGAGAACCAAUGCCUUCACAUCAGGGUUGCUGUGAGGAUUGAAUGGGAUCUUGACUGUAAACCACCUUGCAGAAAAGUCUGACAUAACAUAUAAAUUCGUGUUUUAAGGACUUUUGGAAUUGCUAAUGACAAAAACCAACUCAAGUAAACUUAAGAAAUAGAAAUUUAAUGGUAUCAUAAUAAGGAAGCUCAGAAAAUUGAAGAACAUUUUAUAGAUACCAGGUGACCUUGGGCACACAAUCAUAUUUUGGUGUCCCAGGGGUGCUCAUUGUGUCUCAUGCUGCUUGUCUGUAGUUGGCUUUCUUUUCUCCUGCAGGUAAGCUGUCUAUAAGUGAUAAGAAAGGAGGUCACUGGCAACCCUCUGUCCUCUCAUCUCCGUAAUCCACAAGGCAAGGUCCUUACUUUUAGAAUUCCAAAUUUAAAAACCUGGGGAAGGAUACUGACAGAAGGGGUCAAAAUUCUACCCCUGGACUAAGCCAUUAUGGCCAGGGGAUUGGAGAACUAUGGUUGGUCAGACUAGAGCUACCUGUUACUCAACUGACACUCAUGUGGUAGGUGUGGAGAGGGUUGGAGAGCCUCACUCAGAAUCAUGUUUGCAUCUCAUGAAGAGAUGCUUGUUUUACUAUCCAGCAGGAGAAAGGGAACCAGUGCUGGAUAGUAAAACAAGUGUCCAGUUAUUUGAUACUUGUUUUUUGUCUGAAGCUGAUUCAUCCUCCUUAUCUGUUUAAUAGGGAAUGGGGGGAGGAAAAUAGGAAAGUAGGAGAGAGAGAGUGAAGUGUAAAUUUUAUUGUGUACUUAACUAUGUAGUAAGUAAACUUUGCAGGUAGGAACCCAUUUGCAUCUCAUUUAAUCUUUACUUCCAGUACUCUGAGAUAGAUAAUAUUCCCAUUGUCAGCCAGAAGCAAGCUCAAGCUAAGAAACUAGCCCAGGAACAUAAACCUAAAUGUUUUAUGAGCCAGGAGCUAAAGCUAAGUCCACUUGUCUCCAAAGCAUAUUAGACUUUUCUGUUGUACCAUGUUCUUCAAAAUAAAGUGAGUUAAACUACCUGGUCAACAUGCCAGUCCCCUAUACUCCCUGCCUACACUCAGUGUUUGUGUCCCCCAAAAACCAUAUGUUGAAGUUCUAAUCCCCAGUGGGAUAGAAUUUGGAGAUGUGGCCUUUGGGAAAAUUAGGUCAUGAGAGUGGAACCCUCAUGAUGGGAAUAGUAUCUUUAUAAGAAGUGAAAAUACACACAAGAACUUGCAUCCGCUCACCUUUUUCUGCCAUGUGAGGACAUGGCAAGAAGGUAGCCAUAUGUAAACCUGGAAGAGGGCUGCCUCCGGAAGUGUGAGGCUAUCUCAGUUAUAUCCGUGUAUUAGGCUGUUCUUGCAUUGCUAGAAAUAAAUACUUGAGACUGGAUAAUUUAAAAUGAGAAUAGAUUUAAUCAGUUUACAGUUCUGAAGGCUUUACCAGAAGCAUGGUGCUGGCAUCUGCUCAGCUUCUGGUGAAGCCUCAGGGAGUUUUCAAUCAUGACAGAAGAUGAAGGGGGAACAGGCACAUCACAUAGUGAAAGCAGGAGCGAGCACAAGACAGUCGGGGUGACAGGAGGUGCCACCCACUUUUAAAUGGCCAGAUCUCACAAGACUCACAGCACCAAGCCAUGAGGGAUCCAUCCCAUGAUCCAAACACCCCUCCACCAGGCCCCACCUCCAGCACUGGGGAUUACAGUUCAAAAUGAGAUUUGGGCAAGGACAAAUCCAAAUUAUCAGUCUGUUGUUUAAGUCACCUAGUCUGUGGUAAUUUGUUAUAGCAGCCCAAGCUGACUAAGACACUUCUCUAGUCACAGUCUCAGUGCUCCCCCUCCAACUCUCCCUCAUCAUGAACCUAGAUUAGAACUUGAAACCUAGGUUUUCCAGACUUAUAUGGUCAUUCUUGCCUUAGCCCACAGUAAACAAAGGAUGUAUUCCCGAUCUUUUAAACAGAACAGAAUGUGUGAAAACACAUUUUCAAGUUUCGCAUAUUCUGAACACAACUUUUUACUUAAAAGAUGAAAUAGCUGCAGCAAGAGCUGGCUGGUCUGUAUUUGAAUCCCAUUACUUACUAACUAGGUAAGUAUUCUGCGUCUCAGUUUUUUCAUCCUUAAAGUGAGGCUAGUGAUGGAACUUAGCUCAUAGGGCUUGUGAGGAUUGAGUGAGUUAAUAUAUAAAGUACUUGGAACAGUAUCUGGUACACAACAAGUACUGUCUCAGUGUUGGCUCUAUUAGAAGUAUUGUUAUUCAAUAUUAGUGGGCUCUUAUUAAUGCCAAAACAGGCAGACUUUGCUUAAAGAAUCUUCGUUUUGCUGCUUGGGUUCACAUCUGAGAGAGAGCUGACUAUAAUCUAAGGCAGAAAUAAGCUAUUUGUAGUCCAGGAAGUUCUAAGGAAGAAACAGUCUGCCUGUCUAUCUGGUCCUUUUAAUACACAUAUGAUUAACAUUUCCCCCAUAUUUCCCCUCUAAUUAUGCUUAUGUUCUGAUCUUUUGAACAUGCAAGUUUAAAUAAACUUUCCUCUGUUAGACUAUGGGAAACAGUUAAGUCUGGAAUGCAGAGAGCUGCGGUAUGCAAGGUACUGCAGAUGAUUUGGCAGAAUGGUGAUGUAAGGAAUAGGAUGGUCUGAGCACAUCUGGAAGGCACCAGAAGCCAAUGGAGAGUCUGUGUAUGAAGGCUCUGAAUGAAAUGGAGUAUAGUUUCCUCUGUGAGGAGCUAGGACAACAUGGCCCCCAAGGAAAAUCUGAAGAGCACUCUGUGACUCACUAAUCAAUGAGUCAAAGAGGGAAAUGGGAGGCUAUAUCACUGACUACGUAAGCUUGACAAGUUUUGAGGUGGCCCAGUUCUGGGGCCUUUCUUUGCCUCUCUCUAGUUCAAUUCAGAUCCUAGAAUGGGAUCUGAAACUCAGUUGUAAUGGAUAAAUCUCAAAAUGUAUCCAUUUGCCUCUGUAUCAGUGGUUAUGUUGGGGACUAUACCUCUAGAUCGCUGAUGUGUUUAUGUAUCUGUCUCUAAUUUUACCAUAUAUUUGCUGUGCCAAUAAAUGCCUUUUUAAUGUUAAACAUUUUACAACAAAUACUUCCACCAUGUCUUUGUCACUGAAAAGACAUUUUAUAUCAGAAAGAGCCUUAGAUUUUUCAAACUGUAUCUGAAUCAAAAACUACUUCAAUUAAGCUGUGCCCAAACU
Sapajus apella (tufted capuchin) is the source of this 5633-nucleotide long non-coding RNA. RefSeq lists it as uncharacterized. NCBI's taxonomy places the organism in Eukaryota, Metazoa, Chordata, Mammalia, Primates, Cebidae. The transcript is spliced from 2 exons. The record is from RefSeq and is a predicted model, not a curated record.